ACCCCCCUUUUUUUGGACAAUCAACGCAUUUGAAUGGGGACAUGUAAUUGGAACCCCCUCUUUGUCUUGGGUUAGAAACCCCCUUUUAAAAUGGCUGGAUCCGCCCCUGCAAUGAUGAUCUUAGUAUAGUGGUUCAAGGUUACAGGCUUAAAAUUAGACAAACUGGUACUUAAUUGUUUUCUGCAUCCUGGCAGAAAAAAAAUAUUAUUGAAGAGGGUGAAAUAUUUAAUAAUUCUAUUUGUUUCACAUAUGCUAUUUAAUCUCAAUUUUAUCUAUGAACUGUUCUAGACAAUGCAUGAUGCUCUAUCCAAAAAAAAAGGAAUAAUAUUAUGUAUUAAACAUCUCUUUGGUGAAAUACAUGAUUAAAGUAUUUGAAAUAUUUUUCAGAAUUUAUUCACACAAUAGCUGACCAAUAAUUAUACUAUAGCUGACAAUCAGCUGCUCUUUGUGCUGAAAAGGGUACAUGCAGAAUCGAUGGAGAUGAAGUGAAAAAUUGUUUGGAUGAAUUGCUACCUUCAGCUGAAAUGUUAUUAAAUCUCAAUAAUCAGGCAGCAGCCAAACCAUAGGAGGGCUGGUUUACAGUAGAAAGUAUAUUAAGAAUACUUGAAGAUCAAUAUUUGAAGCAAAUAAAAAGGAAAGAGUUUCCAUCCAUUUCCAUCCAAUGUUUCACAAAAGAAAGGAAAAGGUAAAAAAACUUUCAAGAAAAACUGUUCUCCAACCAAAGGUAUAGAAAGUGAAGGAAAUAAUAGGAGAAGGAAACGGGACGUACGUACCAGAUCUUGAAGACAACAUUUGUAAUGAUGAGGAUGACACUAUUACUUUAUCUCCUGAUGUACUAAUGGAAACCAUGCAAAGCUUGAGAGGAGAAAUCAUUGAUUUCAUUAAAAUAUGGAAGCCUUAGUGAUUUAAAGAUGCCAACAAAACUAAAACGAAAAGAGAGGCCAAAAGGAAGCCAACAGACCGUAAUUGGUUUACCAAAAAAAGAGAAAAGAACAAACUUGUUCCUUUCUUAAGAGAACAGUUGAUAAAAAAGAAAGAGAAAUACUUAAUUGGUUAGUUAGUGUAGAUAGUUUAAUGAAGGCAUCAGGAGGGACAUUACUGGAUGAAGAAGAUUUGGUUGGAUUAUCGGAGGACUAGUUACCUUACCGAUGUUUAGAUGAUUAUGUUGAUUGGACAAUUGUUCAAAAAAUUUCACUUCAUCUGCAUGGUUGUAUUUAUUAUCUAUUGUAAAAGAAAAACAACAAAAGGGUGGAUAUACUCUUUGUACAUACUGUAAUGCUUUUAUUUCUACAGAAAUGAUGAUGCUGUUGAAUACGACUCUUGUUUGUUAUGGUGGCAUAUGAGUUGUGUAAAAUUAAAGAGCAAGCCAAAAGUUAAGCAUUGGUAUUGCAAAUCAUGCAGGUAAAACUGAACUUAUGUGUCAGUAUGUACUAGAAGUUUUGUUUAGACAGCAACCAUUUGAUUUCC
Mytilus trossulus (common blue mussel) is the source of this 1467-nucleotide long non-coding RNA. RefSeq lists it as uncharacterized. The record is from RefSeq and is a predicted model, not a curated record. The transcript has 5 exons. Lineage: Eukaryota; Metazoa; Mollusca; Bivalvia; Mytilida; Mytilidae.